UUGGUAGCUAUUAAGCUGGGUUGAGAUUAAGAUGCUCACUGCAUCUCCAAACGUGAUGAAAAUCAAACCCCACUCCUUUACGAUGCCUCCCGGGGGGGGAUUUUCACACUCAGGAGUUUGUACACUAAAACUGAUAUCCUGACCUAAGUGCUGUUCUAGCUCGCCUUACUAUAAAUCAGAAGCAGCUCUCUGGUGCACAUGAACUCACAGUCAGAGCAUUUAUUUGUUAGGAGGGUGGAUUAACAAAGGCGUGGGCAGAACCCAGGAAAGAGAAAGGGGCCAUAAAGCAGAAAAGUGAUGGAGCCAGGCGCACACGGGAUACCGUGUCCCCAAAUAGUUUGGCGUCAAAUAACAAAAAUAGCUAUAACUUCAUUCCCUUAAUGUGCCCAUUAGUCUAAGUAAGACCUUUCUUUGGUUCGUGCCUGAACCUGGCUGUUUCUCUGCAACCUGCAAUUUAAUCUUCUGCGAAUGUAAUACCCUAAACGUAAUCAUCUGUGAAAUUAAAACAUAAUCAGCUCUCCGUUAUUAGGGGAAGUGGGGAGCUGCAAAAUUGAAAGAAGGAAAACCUGGCUGAUGGAAGUGGUUCUGGGCCCAAGAUGGCCCUGGAAGAAUCCCAGUCCUUUCCAGAAGCGAUGUGCUCUGUGCUCUGGCAGGAGAGUCCCCUCAGUCAGGCUGGGAGGUGCAGAACCGGUGUAGGCACCGCUACAUGCAUAGCAUGGCUUAUUCACAACGUGGGUAACAAACCCAGGAAUAAUGGAGAAUAAAUUCUGCUUUGUUUCUUCGUUUGCUUUGCUGUAACUGAAACAAAAUAGGUGUUUAAAUUAAUGUUAAUAAAACAUUUUGAAGCGAGAGUGUUACGAAGGUGCUGCAAGCAGCAAUAAAAUCACCACGAAAUUACAAACAUGAUUUCAUGAAGAAUAAGACAUCAGCUCUGAAAUAGGAUUGAAGCAGCAGAAGUAUCCAGUUGCAGGAAUAAAAGACUUCAUCUAGCAAGAAUGGCAACACCGCACUCCUUAACGCACGGUAGAGGCAGGCAGGAAAGCACUCUCUCACUUCACUUCCAAAACUAAUGAAGAAAAGUGCCCACAAGCUCCAGGGGAGGGAAAAAAGGAUGAAAAACAGGCAGAUUCAGAUAAUUAAAAUUCACGGGUUGGAUAGAGGAGCUGGAGGCUGAAGCAGAACUUCCCAGUGCUGAGUACACGCAGUCUGCCUUUCAGAUCAUGACAUAACUGCUCUGUUUGCAGUCAUCCUCACUUCUGGCUCCUAUCCUUCACAACCCCAGAAGCAAAGAGAAUUUACAGUAAUUAGAACUGUCCUUGAUCCAGCUCAGGAAAGGGUGCCAGUACGCUCAGCAUCUGAAACACCUCGGUCGUCUAGCUUCCAUCUGUCUCGGUGAUGUCUAAAUGUGUCUGCACUGAACAUUUCCAGACCUGUGUUCAAUUCAUCUGAUUCCAAGUGUCUUCCUUCGGCCACUUUUGGUGCGGAUCAGCCAGCGUCCCAUUUAUGUUUUGAAAAACUACCCUGACCCCUUAACUUCAGUCCGAAAGAAAGUACUCUUUGAACGCUAGCUCCACACGCAAAGGAAGUUCUUAAUAUUACUGUAAAUGGAACCCAUCUCCACACGUGGCAUCUCAGACCUGUGGGUGCAUGGCAUACUGGAGAUUUACCCCAGAAAACGCAGGCAGAGCCAUUGCGACUCAGCAGUGAAGGUCACAGACCUGCUCUCCAGACCUUGACCUCAGCUGACUGAGCAAAUUGCCAACAGACCAGAGAAGUGGAGAGCGGGGGGAAGGGGUCAGCAGACGUUGGAGACAGAUGGCCCAAUUCAUCAUCCACCAGAAAUAAAUUAAAAAAUAAAAAUAAAAAGCUGCUCCAAGCGUUAUACACGCAGUGGUGAUUGUAAAUUCCACAACUGUGGAGGGCUGCCAAGCCAUUAUACACAUACCAAUACUGCAGUCUCUGUGCAUAACUCCAGAAAGGUGAAGUCAGGAGAAGCUGCAAAGCAUAAAGCGUGUUUAGCUCUCAGGAAAUCGGUUUGUAAAAUGAUUAUCCAAGCCCUGGUGGAACGAAAAGCAUGUAGAAGUUAGGGACUAAUAGGAUACUAUGGCUUGUACAUAGACAAUGCAUUUGCACAAUGCAUAAUUUAGUUAUCCAUGGAUGUGACUGUUGAUAUUAUAGUUAUUUAUCUUCUUCUAACACUAUUUUUGUUUGAGUUUUACUCUUGACAGUUUCCCAGUUUGAGCUGUCAGGCUGUGUGUCCUGCUAAAUAUGGUACUUUGGUCAGAAGGCAGAGUGCCUCAGGAGCCAGCAAUGCUCUAUGACACCACUGGAAGGAAGGAAGGGUGUGCAGAGCAGGAGGGGUUUCCCCAGAUCGCCUUCCUUGGUUUCACUGCAAUGAAGUGAAAGAAGGAUCUACCUUGGGUUUUUGUAAAUACACUGACAGCAAAGAGAGAGUUGCAUUGGUGUUGGUGCUGUUGGUAGCACUACUGAAUGCUCCGGGUGGUUUUCCAAGCACAAUUUCCCCACGGGUGGAGAUAACAGCAGCCAUCAGAUUGCUCAAUGUCACAAAGCAAGCGCUGGGAAAUCUCCGUCACAGCCUUUGUGCAGCUUUCAGCUCUCUUUCCACGCAGGCCAAUAUCUAUGCACAACACAACAAAGAGUUAUUAAU
Long non-coding RNA from Gallus gallus (chicken), 2668 nucleotides. Lineage: Eukaryota; Metazoa; Chordata; Aves; Galliformes; Phasianidae. The record is from Ensembl.